Long non-coding RNA from Brienomyrus brachyistius, 3628 nucleotides. RefSeq lists it as uncharacterized. NCBI's taxonomy places the organism in Eukaryota, Metazoa, Chordata, Actinopteri, Osteoglossiformes, Mormyridae. The transcript is spliced from 3 exons. The record is from RefSeq and is a predicted model, not a curated record.
GAUCCGAAGGUCUCAUUACGCUGAAUUUAUGCACGGGGAGGCGGUCUGAAGCUCCGCCCCUGAUACCACCCCUUGACUCCACCUUCCUUCUUUGAAGCCGAUAUUUGUGUCACCAUCAUGGUAAACUAGUACGAGGGCAGGACUGAGCCCCCAGCCCAGGAGCCCGUGCAGUGAGACUCGGAUGUGCUAACGUGUAAAUCCCAUCCGGCCGCUGACUGAUGGCGACGGCACAGAGCAGCUGUGGCUGUGACGUAUUGGGUUAUCGUGGGUGACCUGCAUUCCCUGCAUGACUGGGAUCCUCUGUUGGCAGCGAUGCCCACUCCCCCAUCCCCCCAAAUGGGGGUCCCGAGUCUUCCUCACCCAAUACCGAGGUUUACUGAAAGCAACCUCCUCUUCCUCCAUCUCUUUCUCUGCCUCUGAUUUGAUCCGUUAUUCUCAUUUAUUUUAAUCAAUUGGGUGUAGGAGGGGCGGGACUCUUCACUGGAUUGGUCUUCCCGCUAAGACCGUUGUCUUUCUCCCUUCCGGAAAUGGUCAAAAUUAAAGAUAAUCUUUUAGGGUAUCAACAGCAAACACAGGUGCCCCACAGUUCAUGAUUAUAGCUAUUAAUAAAAUUUUAAAAGGUGAGGUAAUGCAACGAUAAGCAACAGGCUGUCCCUGUAAGGCACACCUGCAGUGCUUUGGGAGAGACUCCAGACUUCUGGAGGAUCCCGGAUCUGGUUGCAUUUCAGCUCCUUCGAUGUCGGAUUCCUUAUCUGUUUGCUCUGCCAAGCUUUUUGAUUUAGGGGUUGUGUAUGAACCUUAACCCGGUUAGCUUUACAGGUAUUUUGAUUUAGUGGUUUUGCAAGUGCCCUGAUACUGUUGUGUUGCCAAGUUUUUGAUUUAGGUUUUUAGGUAUUUUGAUUUAGGGGUGUUACAAGGGCCCUGACACUAUUGGGUUGUCAUGUUUUGAUUACCUUUACAGGUAUUUUCAUUUAGGGGUGUUACAAGGGCCCUGGCACUGUUGGGUUGUCAGGUUUUGAUUAGCUUUACAGGUAUUUCCAUUUAGGGGUUUGCAAGGGCCCUGGCACUGUUGGGUUGUCAGGUUUUGAUUAGCUUUACAGGUAUUUUCAUUUAGGGGUUUGCAAGGGCCCUGGCACUGUUGGGUUGUCAGGUUUUGAUUAGCUUUACAGGUAUUUUCAUUUAGGGGUUUGCAAGGGCCCUGGCACUGUUGGGUUGUCAGGUUUUGAUUAGCUUUACAGGUAUUUUCAUUUAGGGGUUUGCAAGGCCCCUGGCACUGUUGGGUUGUUAGGUUUUGAUUCGCUUUACAGGUAUUUUCAUUUAGGGGUUUGCAAGGCCCCUGGCACUGUUGGGUUGUUAGGUUUUGAUUCGCUUUACAGGUAUUUUCAUUUAGGGGUUUGCAAGAGCCCUGGCACUGUUGUGUUGUUGUGUUCCCAUUGCGGUCGGUGCUUUGCGGUGACAUUGGUACAUCAUAGAACCUGCCACCUAUCUCUGUUUCACUGCUUGUCUGUGAGGAAUGCCCGCCUGUUUAUCAGUCUUCUAGCCUCACUCCAUCUCUGCCUGUCUGCCUACAUUUUACUCUAUGUACAUCCAGUCGUCUGUCUGCCUGCCUGUCUGUUCGCCUGUCUGUCAGCAUAUCUUACUGUCUAUCUUUCUGUCUACCUACCUACAUGUCUUAUUCUCUGUCUGUCUACCUGUCCAUUUGCCUACCUACCUGUCUUAUUCUCUGUCUGUAUAUCUGUCUAUCUGCCUACCCGCCUGUCUUAUUCUCUGUCUGUAUACCUGUCUAUCUGCCUACCUGCCUGUCUUAUUUUCUGUCUGUAUACCUGUCUAUCUGCCUACCUGCCUGUCUUAUUCUCUGUCUGUAUAUCUGUCUAUCUGCCUACCCGCCUGUCUUAUUCUCUGUCUGUAUACCUGUCUAUCUGCCUACCUGCCUGUCUUAUUUUCUGUCUGUAUACCUGUCUAUCUGCCUACCUGCCUGUCUUAUUCUCUGUCUGUAUACCCGUUUAUCUGCUUACCUGCCUGUCUUACUGUUUGCCUGUCUGCGUUACUGUCUGCUUAACUCCAGGCCCUUCCUGCUAAAAUUGAGUCUAAUUUAAUGCCCCUUCAACACAUGGGCCUUGCACAUGUGCAGUUUGGAAGCGGUUCUGAACCUGAUACAGGCCCAGUAGAGAAGAGGCCUCACCCAGUAACCGGAGUGUUUCUCUGGCCCGCGGGUCCCUGGCAGAUGUCCUCACCCCAAGCAUAUAAACGCGUCACAACAUCUGUCCCAGGCCCUGCCUGGGUAAAUAUUUCUGUAGCAGUUAAUUAGGCAUCAGUGACAUGAUCCUCCACUGAAAGCCUGUUUCAUGGUUUAUAUUUAGAGUGGUCUUAAUGUCAUACUGAGUGCAUACAGAAGGUGUUCCUGGAUGGGCACUAUAGGCUGACGAUUACAGAGUAAAGCCUCUGUUUGCCUGUCUCUCCAGAGGCUUCAGUCUGUCUGUCUUUCUGCUCAUCACUCUCUCCAACAUUUGUUGCUUUUCAUCCGUCUCUCUGCCUGUCUGCCUCUCUGUCCGUCUUUGAGUCUUCUGUCUGUCUCUCUUUUUGUCUGUGACUUUGCCAUCCAUCUCUCUGGUGUCUAUCUUUCUGUCUAUCUCUAACUGUACCAUAUGUCUUUGUCCAUCCGUCUCUCUGCUGUCUGUUUCUCUGUUCAUCUGUCUUUAUCGGUCUCUCCGCCAUCUCUCUCCUUCUUUCAGUCUCUCUGCCCAUCCGACUCUGUCCGUCUCUCUGUCCAUCUGUCUUUGUGGGUCUGUCUCUAUGCUUGCCUCUUUCUUCGUUCAUCUCUCUGUCCAUCUAACAUCCAUCUCUCUGCCCGUCUGUCUCUCUGCCAUCCAUCCCUCUGUUCAUCUCCGCUGGUCUGUUUCCCUGCCGUCUGUCUCUCUAUCCAUUUGUCUCUAUCUGUUUAUCUAUCUGUUUUAUGUAGAUUUCUCUCUGCUGUUUGUCUCUCUGCCAUCCGUUUCUGUCUGUCCAUCUCUGUGCCCAUCCAUCUCUGUCUGUCCAUUUCUCUGUCUGUCAGUCACUCUGCUCUACGCCUGUCCAUCUUUCUCCUCUUGUCUCUCUCCCUGAAUGUCAUUCAUCUACUGAGUCUGUCUGUCUCUCUGCAGUCUGUCUUUCUGCUGUUUGCCUAUAACCGUCUGUCUGUGCCACCUUUCUGCUGUGUGUCUCUCUGCCACCUGUCUUUCUGUUCAUUUGUAACUCUGUCAUCCGUAUUUGUCCAUCCAUCUCUCGGGCAAUCUGUCGCACCAUCCAUCCGUCUCUCUGCUCACUUGUCUCUCUGUUAGCAGCUUCACUCCGUCUGUCUUUGUCCUAGAGGUCCCGGUAAUCCACAGCUGUGCCAGUCUCACACAGCGAAGCCCCCAGCAUCAGCCUCACACGGACACUGUGAAACAUGUCUUAGCAUGUAUGUGAACAUGCAUGUCCUAGCUAGAAUCCAUGUGGAGCAUGUGGGUGUGUUCUGCGAAGAGCUGGGAUAGCUUGAUGGUACAUUGAGGAUGGUAGAUAAUCAUAUCUGUGUUCUGAUGAACCAGGUGGUCACAAUCUGUGAUAGCCAAUGUAAAGGUAGAAUACUUUUGAAUAUUAAUGAUGAAGAAGU